This 468-nucleotide ribosomal RNA is filed under the name uncultured bacterium. RNAcentral describes it as "partial 16S ribosomal RNA". It matches the Rfam family "Bacterial small subunit ribosomal RNA", at positions 28 to 507 of the family's 1533-position model. The record is from RNAcentral.
GACGAACGCUGGCGGCGUGCUUAACACAUGCAAGUCGAACGGAAAGGCCCUGCUUUUGUGGGGUGCUCGAGUGGCGAACGGGUGAGUAACACGUGAGUAACCUGCCCUUGACUUUGGGAUAACUUCAGGAAACUGGGGCUAAUACCGGAUAGGAGCUCCUGCUGCAUGGUGGGGGUUGGAAAGUUUCGGCGGUUGGGGAUGGACUCGCGGCUUAUCAGCUUGUUGGUGGGGUAGUGGCUUACCAAGGCUUUGACGGGUAGCCGGCCUGAGAGGGUGACCGGCCACAUUGGGACUGAGAUACGGCCCAGACUCCAACGGGAGGCAACGGUGGGGAAUAUUGCACAAUGGGCGGAAGCCUGAUGCAGCGACGCCGCGUGCGGGAUGACGGCCUUCGGGUUGUAAACCGCUUUCGCCUGUGACGAAGCGUGAGUGACGGUAAUGGGUAAAGAAGCACCGGCUAACUACGUG